This 134-nucleotide unclassified non-coding RNA is filed under the name uncultured Ascomycota. RNAcentral's name for it is "sequence contains ITS2". Lineage: Eukaryota; Fungi; Ascomycota. The record is from RNAcentral.
UCAAAAUUCAAGCUCUGCUUGGUGUUGAGUCCUGUCGAAAGACAGACUCCAAACGCAUUGGCGACUUUGGUUGUGGUCCGCUACGUGACAAAACUCUCGUAAUGAACCCGGCUAGAGUCUGCCUGUUUACGAAC